This is a long non-coding RNA of Poeciliopsis prolifica (blackstripe livebearer), 577 nucleotides long. RefSeq lists it as uncharacterized. Lineage: Eukaryota; Metazoa; Chordata; Actinopteri; Cyprinodontiformes; Poeciliidae. The record is from RefSeq and is a predicted model, not a curated record. The transcript is spliced from 8 exons.
CGGCCUUUAAAUACUCCUGUCGCACAUCGUGAGGUUCUCUUUUCUCUGUUCGCUGAGCUAUGGAAGUUUCGGUCCAAAUACGAGCAAUGAGUAAAAGUUCAGAGCUGGACCAUCAUGCCAGUAAACCUCCCAGUCACUUACUGGUCCACAGACUGGGGCAUCAGGUGCUGGGGAUGACCUUUAACCCUUAACCUGUCGACGUCAAAGCCUUCAGAUGUAAUGUAAUGGAUAAGCCAGCUGGGUUCAGCCGUCGGCCAUCUUUAACGAGGCCACAGGUUUGGCGGAAAUGAGUCAAGAUGACGGCGUCCGAAUGCAAGAUGGCGGCGGGAUGAUUUACUCUUGGAGCUGAGCAUCACUUUUCUGGUUCAGCUGAAGCAUGCAUGUCGUAAGGUGAAGUUUGAACAGCGAUUCUGCGUCACAGAUGAAGAUCAAAGCAGAUGUGGACCAGCUGAGGGGAGUUUGUUCUGAUGCGUCAUCUUCUCCAGAUUAAAACGAAAUGAAUAUUUCUUGUUUGUAAAUUUGAAUAAUUUGUAAGCAGACUUUUCUUUUGUAUAAAAAUAAAUAACAGACCAAAGGA